GAUGAAGAACGCAGCGAAAUGCGAUAAGUAAUGUGAAUUGUAGAAUUCAGUGAAUCAUCGAAUCUUUGAACGCACAUUGCGCCCGCCAGUAUUCUGGCGGGCAUGCCUGUUCGAGCGUCAUUUCAACCAUCAAGCCCCAGGCUUGUGUUGGGGACCUGCGGCUGCCGCAGGCCCUGAAAACCAGUGGCGGGCUCGCUGUCACACCGGGCGUAGUAGAUUUUAUCUCGCUCAGGGCGUGCUGCGGGUUCCGGCCGUUAAAAAGCCUUUUUUACCCAAGGUUGACCUCGGAUCAGGUAGGAAGACCCGCUGAACUUAAGCAUAUCAAUAAGCGGAGGA
Molecule: unclassified non-coding RNA, 336 nt
Filed under: soil metagenome
Description: partial contains 5.8S ribosomal RNA, internal transcribed spacer 2, and large subunit ribosomal RNA
Rfam family: 5.8S ribosomal RNA (bases 1-120)
Source: RNAcentral